Molecule: ribosomal RNA, 268 nt
Filed under: uncultured bacterium
Lineage: Bacteria
Description: partial 16S ribosomal RNA
Rfam family: Bacterial small subunit ribosomal RNA
Source: RNAcentral
UACAGGAAGGAUUAGCGUUAUUCUUAAUAACUGGGCGUAAAGGGUGCGCAGGUGAUAUUGAAAAUAAACAAAAAGCAGAGCUUAACUCUGAUAAACAUUUUAUUUUGAAUUAUAUUUGAGUUAAACAAAGGAUAAUAGUAUUUCUAGUGUAGUGAUAGAAUACUUAGAGAUUAGAAGGAACAUCAAAGGCGAAGGCAAUUAUCUAGGUUUAAACUGACACUCAGGCACGAAAGCAUAGGGAGCAAACAGGAUUAGAAACCCUUGUAGU